This 468-nucleotide ribosomal RNA is filed under the name uncultured bacterium. RNAcentral's name for it is "partial 16S ribosomal RNA". It matches the Rfam family "Bacterial small subunit ribosomal RNA", at positions 28 to 507 of the family's 1533-position model. The record is from RNAcentral.
GACGAACGCUGGCGGCGUGCUUAACACAUGCAAGUCGAACGGAAAGGCCCUGCUUUUGUGGGGUGCUCGAGUGGCGAACGGGUGAGUAACACGUGAGUAACCUGCCCUUGACUUUGGGAUAACUUCAGGAAACUGGGGCUAAUACCGGAUAGGAGCUCCUGCUGCAUGGUGGGGGUUGGAAAGUUUCGGCGGUUGGGGAUGGACUCGCGGCUUAUCAGCUUGUUGGUGGGGUAGAGGCUUACCAAGGCUUUGACGGGUAGCCGGCCUGAGAGGGUGACCGGCCGCAGUGGGACUGAAAUACGGCCCAGACUCCUACGGGAUGCAGCAGUGGGGAAUAUUGCACAAUGGGCGGAAGCCUGAUGCAGCAACGCCGCGUGCGGGAUGACGGCCUUCGGGUUGUAAACCGCUUUCGCCUGUGACGAAGCGUGAGUGACGGUAAUGGGUAAAGAAGCACCGGCUAACUACGUG